Molecule: long non-coding RNA, 4563 nt
Filed under: Gallus gallus (chicken)
Lineage: Eukaryota; Metazoa; Chordata; Aves; Galliformes; Phasianidae
Description: lncRNA (ENSGALG00010011314.1)
Source: RNAcentral
CUCAGGCCCGGCCUCGCCACGGCCCCCCCGCGCGGCGCCGGCUUGGGAGCAGCACGCCAGCACUGUUUCCUAGAACCUGUCGCUUACUGUGCAGGUGAGCUCAGUGUAACUGUGUCUGUAGUUUCUCAUAAUCGGUUGUGACUGUGGCCCUUUAGAUGUGCUCUCCAAAAGAAGCACUGCUAGAAGUGUGACGGCUUCCAAAUGUGGGAGCAUUUCUGCAGGUGUCCUGCUCUUGUCUUUUAACAAGUCUGUUCAACAGUAGGCCUAAGUUCCCUUCUGCUACCAAAAUCCAGGAAUGAAACUUGACGAUGUGAAUGACAGAUUAGGAAGCAGAUAUUACUUUAUUGCAGUGCUUGGUGCAUGAGGGAUUGCCCCUCACCAUCUGAAAGCACACAGAUUUUGUAUACUUUAAUACACAAAUAUUCAUAGGGUUUCCUCAGAGUGCCCACCUAGUCCCAGAAUUGCUAUACAUAUUAAAAUCUGGUGCUAUGCAUACACCGUGUUAGUGUGGUUGUCUUGCAAGGGGGUCUGUGGUGGUUGUGAGGUUCCACUGGGAGGUGCUAUCCAGGUGAAGGGUUGUGUGUUAUGUAGGCCAGGUCCUGUACUUGGUCAAGAACCUAUUUACAAAACCAUGACCGUUGACUUAGUUUCUAAUGAGCACAUCAAUCUUGUUAUAGUGCUUGUAUCAUCAGCCCUACAGUGUACCUCCUCAAGGCUGGUGAAAUGCUGAGGCUCUACUUUUAGGCUCCAGAAGUCCUGCUUAUCUAGGACAGAGAGUCUUCUCUAGACAAAAUACCAGUCGGCUGAAGAGUUUGAACUCAUUGCUAAAGGCUCUGAACUUAUUGCCAGGUAUGAAUAUGAGGAUUUAUAGGGUUUUUGCAAGAUGGGAUCGCACAAAGAUCGCAAGCUAUCAUUUGUGACUGCAGCAAGACUGUACUGCUGCAGUGGUAUUCUUUGAGGGGAACCUGAAAUCUGCUGAUAGAAUUGGUUUCUCUGCCACUAGUUUUCAUUAAAGCCAAAUGUAUCUGUGAAGUUAAUUCAUUAUCUCAUAGUAAAGAACAGCUCACACAUGUAAGCUGAAUUUGUUUUGUGAAAUGCACAGAUUAUUUUGCUUACAGGGUUUUAAAAUAUACUGUCUCCAGGCUGAACAAAUGCCUAGUUUCACUGGGCCCAGGUGAGAACAUCUGAUUAGGAGUUCUCAUCUAAAUAAGGUAUGAAAUUCCCAACCAGCUCUCCAGUGAGGGCUGAAUACAUGUGAAGAGAGCAGCAAAAUGUGUGUACCUCCAUCGAAUCUCUGUAGGUAAGCAUUAUCUUGACACUUUCAGCUGGUUUUCAGAGGUGUAUUAAGAACAGCUUAAAGAUACAAAGCACAUUUUCACAUUCUUGUUUGAAAGAUGGACACAGAAGUAUUAUGCAGGUGGUAUUUGAACCACAUCCCUUGGCUUCUAACCUUCACUGUCUUUUUGGUCGAGCCUCAGUUAUAAUUUUACUAAGAAAUAUAUUGAAUAUGCUCGAAUUGAUGUUAACUUCCAUUGUCACCAAAGGAGGGCAUUUAAAACCGUGAAUACUAUCACAGGAAGACGGAGCUGUUGAUUUGUAAUGGUGAUUUUGCUUUAAUAUGCACUUCUGCCACGUUGAAGUUCUCUAAGUUUAAUCGCUGUGUGAUAAGAAGAGGCAGCUUGUAGACAGGAUAUUAAACCUUGAUUUCUAUCAUACCAAACAAUUGCUGUAUCUUCACCACUUCUUAAAACUGACAUCCUUUCCUUUCAGGUUGACGUGUCCUACUGUAUUAUUUAAGACUUGAUUAUUGCAGUUGAAAUUGGGUUGUUUUUUUUUAGUGCAAAACUAUGUACUUUAAUGGCUGUAUUUCAUCCAUCUUCACUGUGAAUCUGAAUCUAACUUGAUGUCUCACAAACUGCCCAGUUGAUGCUUUCCUGGCCAGGUUUCCAUGUGAACAGAGUGAGCACACAGCUAUGUAAUGUGUCACCAAUCCAAUUGCAGGCAGCACAGUGCUUGGGAAAAGCUUUACCUGGUGUUCAUCAUGAGUAGGAGUCGUCCCCACCUGUGAAGCCUGGGUUCCUGAUGGAGAAGUUGCUGAUCCUCCUCACCUGUGUCAUCCAAGUGGUUUAGAGGAAUCAUGCCAUCGGACACAGAUCAGUAAUGCUUGUUGCUUGAUCCAACUGCUGUAUAGCUGAUGAAUUCAUGGAUUUAAGACAAAUAAUCCGUAUUUCAUUACUAGCAAGUGCUAGAAAUAAAAAUGUACUCUGCACUAUUGCUUGGAAAAACAAAUCCUGAAGUCGUAAGAGAGGAUUAAAGUUGAAAAAAAAUCUCUCAAGAGAAAAACGAAGGGAGUAAUGACAUCUGCUUAGCAGCAUCCAGCCCCUCAGCCUGCAGCACGGACCUCUGGAGCCCUUACACACGGAAUAAAAGGGGAUGCAGUGAGUGAGGAGCAGCAGAACUGCAAGCAGAGCAGCGCUACUGGUGGUGGUGUUCUACCAUGGCGGUAAACAAAGCCAUCGGUUGCAGACUUCUGCACCAAUUCAGGUGGCUCCAUUGCAGGUGUAAGGUUGGAGGUGUGAGGUUUCUCAGCAGUGGGACGUUACCACCUAGCUGUGAGCUGGCUUCGCUCUGGUGGGUGUCCUGCUGUUGUUCCCCCACAGUGAGCUGUGUUCUGGUUCUGUUGGAAGGCUGCCCGGUCCUUCUGCCGGGUUUAUAUUCCACUGAAACGCGUGGCUAUUCAAGUGACCAACCUUUUGGAGUGUCUCGUUUGGCUUUGCCUUAAAUGUUUGCUGCUCCUACCCCUUCCCCCCUUCCUACAGAGGCCUUUUUAUAGGUGGCCUGUAGUGCCAUAAAGUUUUUGCUUAGAGUUGAGCAUUUUCCUAAGCUUAUGGGGUUAACCACGAUUAUGGGAGAGUUCUUGAAGCAUUUUUGAAUGUAAUGCUUUUAUUUAAUGUUUGUAAGCAAGUUCAAAGGUGUCAGAUACAAAUGUCCCAGUAUGGCACAAGGACGAGACGUGGCAUUGGGGAUUGGGCUGUUCUGUUGCUAGUGCACACAAAUGUGGCAAUGAACUUUUUCCCUCGUGCUUUAGAGCAUUAAAACAGCUGUUUUGGAUCAGAGCAAAGUGGGCAGCAGCUGUGGCAGUGAUCUGCCUGUGAUUAGUGGGCUCAGGCACUCGUGGAGUCACAGAUGGGCUUUGUGCUCUUAAGGGCACUGUGCUUUUAGGGCUCCCGCUUUUGCACCAGUGUACUUCUUAAAGUGCUAAAAGUUUUCCCAGCUGGAAGUCCUCACAGCAUCACACAGCAAAGAGCUCUGGGUUUCAGCAUCCACACAAAGGCAUCGCGCAGUCCGCCUGUGUUCCAAUGGGCACAAACAGCACUGAUUGCGUAUUAAAGCCAUUGUCACCAUCACAACCUGGGAGGAGAGCAGAGUGCCAGGACGCUGCAGGACCCCAAAGAUUAUGUCUUAUAAAUAAACAGCUCAAAUUUGUCUGAAGCCUCAGCGUGCGAUGUAUGGAGCGUUGCAUUCUGACCGUGUUACGCCAAGAUUGCUGCUAAUGGCUUUUGGCAGCACAGCCACCAAGUCAGAAAGCUGAGAUGAUUGCGGAUUGUCUGCUUCCAUACACAUCAUACAGCUGCCUGGGAGACGGUGGAGGCAGCGCCUAAUUGAUGUUUGUUCUUGUCAAUGUGUGAUCAGGUUUUGAUGCAAGGUUCUCCUCUUUUGUGCUCUUCUGGUCAAAUUUUCGUUUAAAUUUGUAUUCUGUGCUGAACAGUAGUGCCAGCAGAACCAUAAGCGAGGAGUUUAAAUUUAGGAUGUGUUGCAGAAAUCCAAAAAUGCUUUACUGUUUGGGUAAAAAUGUUUUUGUGUUUUUUUUCCCCUUCAGCUGCUGCUCUGCAUGCCAUAAAACAGCAAUCCGAAGGGUUUGCUCUGAAAGCAUCUCUUUGUGCCCUGGGCCAGUGACCCCACUGCUGUGCCAGUGAAUCAUGGCAAGCUGGAGGAAUCUCCCUGAUUUCUGAGCUCCUAAUCCCGCAAAGCCUGUAAAUGAUGGCUGGCUUAGCUUUGUUUCUGAUAAAACGAGGCUUAUGAGAUGAUGACAUUUGCUGCCUGUUUCUCCUCCGCUCCGUUCCGUGUCACCACCCAAGAGAUCUCUGGAGCCCAUCAGUGCAAGGCUGUGUGCCUAGUGCUACAACACUACCGCGUGCUGGAGAGCAGGGAGGAGCCUGGGUGAAUGUAUGGGAAUGAAUUUGGCUGUGUUAGCACUCCGAUCCCCUUCUGCAUGAUGUGCUUCCCCUGUUCUGCAGUGUCUGAUGCAGGUAUUGGGUCAGCCCAGUGAUGUUUGCUUCCCGGAGAGCACGCAUGGAACCUGCUGAUGGAGUUUGUUAACAGCCCUGCUGUUCCUUAAGCCAAGCUGGGUUUUUGCUUUGAUAAAACCUCUGGGCAUGGUGUGUGGCUGUACAGAGUGUGAGAACUCGGGGAGGUUCUUUACUCUGAGAGUGGUGAGGUGCUGAACAGCUGCCCAGAGAGGCUGUGGAUGCCCCGUCCAUCCCUGGAGGUGUUCAAGGCCAG